UCUUUGUGUUUAGUAGGAAGUAACUAAAUUGCCAUGUUUUGCACCAACAGUAAGAAAUCAAAAAUAAGUAAAUAUGUAUGGUUAAUAAAUUUAGUAAUGUAUGGACUUACUUACAUGAUUUAACUGGAAGAUAAGGAAAUAAAUACGGAGUUACUUGCAUGAUUUAACAGGGGGAAAGUUAAUUCGGAUGGUUUGUCCAACGAAUAGCAUAUAAUAUUUAAAAAAAUGUUUAAAUAGGUUGCAAAAGAAGUUACUUUGGGCUGAUUUUUUAUUCACAGUUGCUAACACUAAUGUUUUGAAAAAAAUGAAAGGUAUGUCAAUUAAGUGGACAUGCAUUUGUCUAAAAGAAGCCCCAAUGUGGAUGAUUUUGUAGCAGUGACAGCCUCCAGGGGGCAACAUCUUAUAUGAUUACAGGCGUGUUUGUAAAAUAUGCUUCGAGAAGUAGGCAGUUGGCUAGCAGUGGCAAAAUGGUGGGGCAGUAAAUAUGGGUGGUUGGUUGGUGGUGAUACUUUAACUGGAGCAUCGAUGCAACUGUUGGGGUAAAAGCUACACCCUGCAUUCAGUCUAUCCAUUUAUUCUGAAGAAACUCCUCCUCCUGAGUGAAGCGAAGAACAGCUAUGUGCGUAACGGAGAGGGAGAAAUAUCAAGGUGGUGGAUGUAAUGGACGGACUUCCUUCACGUAAGGUAACAUAUUCUCCAUUUGUAUGUUAGAUAUGCUUAGAAAUGUAGCCCGGUCACAUGAGUAAUCUUUGGAGAAAUACUGUUCAGGUUGUGCUAGAAACUGGCAGAUCUAAAGAAGAAGACGAUAAGAGAGAGUUAUUCCGUGGUGAUGUAUUGAGUAGCAGUAGCCCGAUAGAUGUUGCUAAGGACUCAUAUCCAAUAGAAGAGUGUGCAAGCACAAAAGGAGCGUUCAGUGGUGUUGGUAACAUUUCGAAGGGACGGGGCAGAUUCACAGCAUCGGAUCUGCAAAAAAUGUAUCUUGAACUAUCUACAAAGCAAAAGGGCAUAAUUAAAAAUUUAGGAAUUGAAGGAGUAGAGUGGAUUAACAAGAUGGUGCACACAAACCUUAAUCAUUCAGCUUGGUUAAUGCUUAAUGUCAUGCUUGAUGACCGUGCUAUGAGAAUUGGCGUAGAUGAUUGUGACAUAGUUCAUAUUACAGAAACUGCGGUAGCAAACAUAACUGGGAAGAGAAUGGGUGGUUCAAUAACGAUUCCAAUUUCUGAAGGUGCCCCAAGCCAUAGUGAAAUCAAAGAUGUGCGAAGCAUACUGAGACUUCACGAUGUAACUGAAGAAAUAACAGUCUCUGAACUUGUCACACUGUUGUUGGGAGAAAGUAAGAAGGGAUUUGAAUUAGAUGAUGAAGGCCCUUCACGCACACAGAGAGCAUUUGCAAUGAUUUACCUUUCUAUUGCGCUUGGUCCUGUGGAGAGAAAAUGUUGUGUCAACAGGAGUUCUUAUGUGAUGGUGAUACUUUAUCCGAAUCUGAAAGAUGUCAAUUGGGGAAAAUAUGCAGUUGAUGAGAUAAUAAGCGGCGCAAGGAAACUGAACCGGGACAAUCCACUGCUUAGCAUAACACUACAUGGGUGCCCUGCUCUGCUUGAGGUAUUUUAAUAAUUCAAUAUUUGCUAUCUUAAAUUUGUGAAUGUACUGACAGGAAUAUGUACAAUAGAUUCUUUAUUUUGACUCCAUGGACAUAGGUUUCGUUCAACUAGAUCAGAAAGCAGUACCCAGGAUAAAGUACUACAACAAACAAAUCCUAAGUGCCCUGGUGAAGGCUAACAACAAAGUAGAUGGUGGGCGUAUUACAUUUGGAUUAAUGAAGGUAUAUGUUUCAGCAUGAAUAAUUAAUUGCUUUUUUAGGUAAUUUGUGAAAAUGCCAUUUUAUAAAAAUGAUAGCUAAAUAUCACAUGUAAGUAAUCUCUGACACUAAAACAUGUUGACAGCUAAAAGGAUCAACCAAGCAUGCUGAUAACUUAGCUUAUGAUUUAACUAAUGAAUCAUGCGUGAAGGUAAAUAUAUACAACCAGAUUUAAGUUUUAUGAAAAGGAUGUACUACAAUAUACCGAAUGUUCACAAUGUUUAUAUAGGGGAGGAAUUGGAUAUUUGAAGAACUAGCACAACAGGCCAAAGGUAGGAUCGAAAGAUUUAUGAAGUUACAUGCAGAUCUCAUGAAUCAAAAUAGUCUGACUAAGGAAAGGAAGAAAAAACUAUUUCAGACACAUAGAUUAGUAGAGAAAAUUGAUGCUGAUAGUUGGCACAGUGAAAAUUCUGCGUUAUAUUCAGAAAAAUGAGGUAGAGGGGGGUGGAUUGGUAAAAGAAACAAUUUCUUGUCUGGACAAUGUUUUGGCUGCUAAGUAAUUAUCUAAUUCCAUGUAAUGUAAAUUUCAAAUAUCAUACUUUGCGACGGUGAUAACACAAUUAAUUGGGAAUUAGGUGUCUGUGAAAACUUUGCCAAGGGUACCAAGAGGAAGGCAAGUCCAAGUUUAGAUGAGGGGGCACAUAAAGAGAAAGGUAUAGCAAAUCGUUUAUGUUUUCCUUUGUACGGAAGAUGAAUGCACUAAGUUAUUUUUGCAGGGCCUAUGGUCCCAGACUUGAACAUGUUGUUGAUGGGUAGCACAGAAUGUGUUAAAGGGAAGGAAGUUGUCUCAGAAGGGGGGGGCAUGUUCAAUCAAGGGAUGCUGGUGCAUUAUAAUCCAAAUGAUGAGCUGCAUUGUGAAGCUGAAGAGUUAUGGAAAAAAGAUUCAUGUAGAAACCAAUUUGAAGAAGGUGGCAUUACCAAUAAUCAGAGCAUCAUGUCCUUUCCAGUUCCAAUCAAUGUAUCCUACUGUGAGUAAUGGUGUAUUGGAAAAAGGGUUCAGAAACAUGAUGAUAUGCUUCAAGAAGACAUUGAAAUCGUAUGUUUUGAAAGAACAAAACUCGUCAUUAAAUAUAUGUUGGUGGAAGCUGAUUUUUUUAAUAGCAAUGCUUGGCUGAUACAUGAGGUGCCUACAAGGAUAUGCCUAACAGGACAGCAAGUAGUUGCCCAAUUCAACAACCCAGGUAGCUUGGAGAAGGAUAGGUUCGAAAUAGUCACACGGAUGAUGGUAGCUGUAGAGAUAAAAUGGAUUAGAGGACUAUAUCGUGGAAGGUGGAGGCACAUCUUGCUUCCAAUAUGGGCUGUAAGUUAUGUUAAGUUACGUACUAAAGUGAUUUCGAAAAAUAUGUAUGAUUUGACAAAGAAGCUGUUGUAAAACGCAGGAAUUGGUAUUAAACGCAGAGCAGUACCUACUUGAUGAGACAAUAAGGAUGAUGUUUGCAUACGCAAACUUGGAAUACGACGUUGAAUGCUGCAGAGUGGUAAUUGAAUUUUGUUUAGACAUAAGGGGACUAUAACAAUUUAUAUGUUUAUUGCUUAACUGGAUAUAUGCUAUGUAGAUUUUUGCUCCAUACCGGGACGAAGAACAAUUCUGGAUUUUAUAUGCAUUUGACAUGGAAACCUGUAGAGUGCAUGUUUUCGAUCCGAAAAGGGGAAACCGUCCAAUGUGGGCGCUGGAGAAAAAGCACAAGAAGUUAUGCUACAAAUUGAUCGAGGGUCUUUCUAGAUGUUAUUUAUAGGUUCUUUGAUGGAUGGAAUAUCAAUGCGGAAUCAUUCCAGUUUAUAUAUCACAGUUUCCUUGAGAAGGCCAGCAACAUGUCAUACCUUAUCUUGCAUUCUAAUCGUGUGAGCUAUUUUUAUGUGGUAAUCACUCUGAUAACCUUUCCUAUGGCAGAUUUGACAGUUCAUUCUACAUGGUGCAUUGCAUUAUGAAUUACAUGGGAACUGGUCUGGCACAUGGAUGUACUGAGGUAUGAAACAUUUCCAUACUUUCGUAAUUUUUUAAAAUUUAAUAAUACUAACUGUUGUCAAAAAAACAUAGGAUGGGUUGAAGAAGAUAAGGGAGUACAUCGUACACAUGGUGCUGACAAUGGAUGGUAAUAUUGGAGUCCCGCCGAAAUGCAUAGUGAGUCCAAUGCUGCUGGAAUAAAGUACUGAUGGCCCAAGUUGUUGGAAAAAAAUUUGUAAUAUAUAACGUAGAUGAUGGAUGUUUUAUGUAGCUUUAUGUAAUGUACUACUAUGUUAAAUGCAGCUGAAUUCUGAGGGAUGCAUCCCUUCUAAUGUAGUAUAUUUGCGUAAAAAUGGUAGAUGGCGUGGACGACAACAAAAUAUGUAGUUCUGGUAGUUUCAUUAGACCUAAUAAUAAAUCUGAACAUUAUCAAUGUUUGGUGCGAGAGCGCUGAUGACAACAUACAAUGCCAAAAAUGUAUGUACUGGAGCUGAUGUCAAUUUUAUUAAUAAAAUGAUUAAUGGACUAAUGAAACUUCCGAUCACAUUCAUUUUUGUAAAGGUAAAAAUUAUUUAAAUGAAUGCAUUUCGCGUAAUGAAAAAAAUUUGGUAUAUGUUUUUUGGAUAAAUGACGGUUCAAUUUGUGGUUCUCGUAUAAAACAGAAAUGCCCCCAGGUGGCUUUAAGUAGAUUUUGUAAUAAUACGGUACAGAGGAAAAUACAUCCAAGGUUGAAGUUUCACCCCAUAUGGGUGCAUAAAUAAUAAACAAAAAAAGGUUGAAAAAGUUAAGAACUUGGUUGACAGGAUAACUGACUUGCUUUGGAUUUAGUAUGUAAUUGUUAAUGAAUAAAAUUAUAAAGCUUGACUUGAAAGUGGAAAAAGUCAAAAAUUGGUUGGCACUAUAGCUAACUAUUCAUACUGUUUUAUUGGGAUAACAUAAGUAUUUCUUGACCGUAGAUGUGAGAAUGAGAUAUCUUUUUGUUUAUUAACUGUAACGAGUACAAUAAAAUAGAGAUUUAUUUGAAAAACUAUUACAGAAACUUUUGACUUGUCGUGGAAUUACUGAAUUUUUUUGUACAUAUGGUCUAGAUGUCCACAUACACAAUUGUAACUAGUACAAGAAAUCUGCGUCCACGGUUUUUUUGGUCAGCUAAACUACCGAGGAAACUAGGGUGAUUCAUGCUGUAGUUCUCAAUACCCGGCAUGAGUAAUGAUAAAAGAUUAGAUUUGGCUGAAGGAUGUCUUUUAGUACACAAAUUUUCAUUAAUAAACAUUUUGCAUGUGGUCUUUGUUACUUUUGUAAGUUCCAAAUUGUAAUGAAAUAAUUGAGUUAAUAGAAAAAAUGUACUAGUAAGAAUAAAGGACGAUGCAAUUAAUAAAUUAUUUAAGGAGUGAAGGUUGCUUGUUUAAACGGAGGAAGAAUACUACAGUAAAAUUAUAUUAUAAAUUUUUGUGUUGUGAUGUAUUAUUAUUAAUAAUUCGGUACGUUGACAGUACAAAAUGAAGCGCGGAGUUCUGAGGACUUAAUUUAAUAAAUAUAUGUAAAAUCUGUGAAAAAAAUAAAAGUUAAACUAAGUCACCGUCUAAAAAACGCGGUAACUCAAUGAGUAUGAUUGGUUUGGCUGAAAGAAACUUGUACUAAUUACAGAAAAGCUGUUUAGCAUUUUGUCUAUGCAUUUGCUAGGAGCAGUGGUGAAAAAUUGCAACGUGGAUGAAGGAAUGAAGGCCUUGAGGUACUGGUGCAUGAGAUAUAUUUUGAUGAACUUAUUGAGGAUGUAUUUGAUUGGAAGCUUGACGACAGGAUGCGCUGGAUUAUUUUUAUGAAUGGGAUUGUGUACGAUAUAUGGAAAACCCGGUUUUGUGGUAACACGCGCGAGGAUUGCUGUAAUUUAUGUCGCAAAAAAAUGUUCAAAUACAUCCUACAAAUUAAUAGUAACAAAGAAAAAAAAGGAUAACAAGUUUUUAGUGUCAUGGGGCCGUUAAUAGAAAUGAAACUGGUGUGUAAAUUAUUAUUAGUAGUAAUCAUUGGCAGCUGGAUACAAAACCAAAAGUACACAGGCAGCCAACGCAUGUUUAGGGGAAAGACCUUGUUUAUGUAGGGCAGGGGAAGGAAAGCAUUAAAAAAUUGUUGUGGUAGAUGGGCAGCGUGCCAUUUAAGUGGUAGGCAGUGAACGACGCAAGGGGUGUUGGCUUCUUCCUCCACUCCCGACUCCGCCUCGCGCCGCCUCCCCGGGCGGCGGCCGGGGCGGCUCCUCCGCGCCUUCUCCUCGCCCCCACCCCUCCGUCCUCCCUCCCCCGCCGCCGCCGGACAGCGCCCCCGGAUCUGGCCGGGUGGCUCGGCGGCGGCGGGCCUUCUUUUCCCCCGCGCGCUGCGCCCUUCCCGGGGCAGGGCUCGGCGGCGGGUGCAGCUCGGCUGGCGGUGGUCCGGCGUCCUGGUGGCGGGGGCCGGCGGCUGGCGCGGUGGUGGCGCUGCCUCUUGGUGGCGUGGUGGCCUGGUGGCGCUGGUGGCCGGCGAUGCGCCCCCGGCCCAGAUCUGGGCCCUUAGGGCCCCAUCUGGGUCCUAGCGGGCCGGCGCCCGCGUGGCCUUGCUGUCUACGGCUCGGUGUGGAGGAGGAGCGGCUCGGAUGUGGGCGGCGGCGCCGAUGGCGUGCCGGCAGCAACGCGAGGGCGGGAGCUUUACGGGCCCACGAGGGCUCGGCCGGGCCUGUGGGCUUACGGGCCUGGUGUGCUCCUGCUAUUGCGUCCGGACGGCUACCGUCGCUGACGGUGGAGGUGGGGCCCUCCCGCGUGCCGACGGUGCUGCUGCCCUAGUCCCGGCUCUGAUUCUUCGCCUUGUUGUCCUCACUUCGCGGUGUCGUGGUGAGACGGCGUGGGGGCCUCUUGACCGUGUUGGCGCUGGGUGGUGGUUGGUUUGGUGGCUGGCUCCGGAGCGCCCGAGGUGCGGGUUGGGAUCGGGGGAAACCCCUGUCGGCUUGGCCGACACCGGCGCGGUGGCGCCUGUGGGUGCUGCCUGACCUUCCGGGAGGGCGUCGGCGGCUACCCUUCCUCUCGCCUCGUCGUGUACCGGGGGAAACCCUUGGCAGCAGCGUCGUCAUCGUCGCGAUCCUUCUUGGAGGUGUUGAUAGGUGCCGGCGCUUCGGAGUCUUGGAGCCUAGUGGAAGAUCCCGGUGGGCGCAGCGUUCGCGAGGCUUCUUCGUUUUCGUUGAUCCGCCGUUGUUCUUUUGCUCUUUCUCUGUCGUUUCUUUUGGGCGUGACUGUGCUGCUUCCGCCCCAGCACCUAUCUUCGUACGGCUUGGUUGGUUGCUUUGUAUACAAAGCGGGGGGAAACCCUUUUUCGGCAAGUGGUAGGCAGUGUGAGCAGAUAUACUGUUGACUAGCAAAACCACCUGCCGCUUGGAGGAGGAUAGGGUUUCCAGGUUAGAUCUGUGCUCGGGAGGGAAGUGCGCCGCCAUGGCGAUGGAGCAGAAGCUGAUGAAUACUGGGCAAUACAGGCAAGAAAGGUAACACGUCCGGCUGUCCCCCCCUCAUCUUUGCCUAUUUGUGUGCCAACUGUUUUUUGACUAUUUAGUACAUGGCGCUGCCGGGUCUAUGGGGAUUUCCGCAUUUAGGUUCCUUGCUUUAUUAGAAAGUGCGAAUAAUGGGGAGCUAUUCUACAGCGAUGAGCCGAGUGCUCUAGAAACCGUCAAUGAAGGAAGCGAGUCAGAUAUAUAUUCAGGUUCAGAGAACAUGCUGUCAAAUGUUCAUGCAUGGCAAACAAAUGGUAGUGGCAUUGUUAAAGCGACAGAUUUGGCUGGGCCUGAGGGUCUGCGGCUUAUCAGUGGGUUGAUUGAGCCUAUUGAACCAGACAAGGCCGACAAAGGAUGCCUACAAAUUUCAGAGACCGCGGGAGCAGAGCAGAGUUCUGAAAGUGAUACUACUUGCGUUAGAAGGUAAUUUGAACCUUUGUUAUAAUUUAUAUUCAACUUUGUGAAGAAAAAUGUGUGACAUUUGAACUUUGUUAACAGGCAUCGGCGAGGAGCAAUGCCUGAUGAGAGAACUAUACAAGCAAAGAGGGUUACAACACUUGAAACUGCAAUCAGGGGUUUUGCUGAAAGGAAAACAGCUUCUGUCAUUACACCAACACUAGGAUUGAGUUAUGAUUCAUUGACAGAAGCUUACGACUUUUACAACCUGUAUUCUUGGGAAUGUGGUUUCGGCAUACGUUACGGAAGAGCAAAAAUAAUGUGAAAGGAGCCAGGUGUAUGCAGGUUUGUUUGCUGUUGUUCGAUAAGUAACUUUUUUUUAUACUUGAUUACACAAAGCAUUGUGUGGAUUACAUGUUGCUAUCGAAAAUUGACAUGUGCAUUUCUUUUGCAACAGGGGAAACCGAAUAAGGAGAACAACAGUUCAUGCAGAGCAAAAUGUCGUGCAACGGUGAGGCUACUAAGAACUGAUGACGGGGGUGGUAUAUAUCCGAGAACAGGACAGAGCACAAUCAUGUACUACUUGAUACUUGUGCUUCUAAGCUCCACUUCCCGUCGCAUAGGCACAUAGAUAAGUACACUAGAUAAUUGGUUGCGCACCUUAGGCAGAAUAAUGUUAAUCUUAGUAAGGUUUACAACAUCAUUGGAACUUAUUUUGGGAGGAUCGAGAAUGGUCCAUUCACCAAAAGGUUCUUACGUACAUUGUGUGGGAAAAUUAUUAGAGAACAAGCUGAUGAUGAUGUGCGUAAAACAAUAGAAAUUUUCUUGGAGAUGAAAGAGAAAGAUAGUGAUUUAUCUUACACAGUUCAAGUGGAUGAUGAAAGCCGGAUUAGGACAUUGUUGUGGUCUAAUGGUAGAAGCAAAUUGCAAUACCACUAUUUCGGAGAUGCAGUGACAUUUGACACUACUUACAAGACAAACCUGUAUGACAUGCCGUUUGGGCUGUUUGUAGGUGUUAACAAUCAUUUCCAGAGCACUAUUUUUGCUGGUGUUCUUAUGAGGGACGAGCAGUCAGAAAGUUUUGAACAGGUUUUCCGUGAGUUUGUGAAGAUGAUGGGAGGAAAGGUUCCAGUGACUAUUCUUACUGAUAAUUUUUUUGUUUGUUUUCAAUCUGAAAAGUUAAUAAAAGAUGUCAUUUGUGCUAUAGGAAUGAUUUUGAUUAGUACUAUAUAUGUAAUUUAUGGUAAUAUAAAUAAUUUUUAAUCAAAUGUUGAACAGACCAAGCUAGGGCGAUGGAGAUUGCUAUUGAGAAUGUUUGGCCGGAAACAACACACCGUUGGUGCAAGAGAGUUUGGGUUAUCAUCAUACAAAGAAGAGUGACUUCCGAGCAGAAUUCCAUAGAUUGGUGAACGACAUGCUAACUAUCGAAGAGUUUGAGAAGGGGUGGGUGGAGAUUAUGAAGAAAUACAGUUUGCAGAGCAAUACAUUCCUCAUACAAAUAUUUGAGGUGAGGCGGAAGUGGGCAAAGCCAUAUUUUUCUGGAAAAUUUUGUGCGAAAAUGACGAGCACACAAAGGAGUGAGAGCGCAAAUCACAUGCUGAAGAAUUAUGUUCCUCCAGCAUGCCCAAUGAAUCUUUUUGUCAAGUAGUAUGCAAAAGUACCGUUUGAUAGAGAGCAAGAAGAAGGUUUCCAAGAAAAGAGGACCAAAUUGGUAAGAUAAGCAACAUUCUUUUAAUAUAUUGUAGUUUGUUUAAGCAAGCCUGAAUUAUGUUUCUAAUCGGUACACAGGCAGGGGUAGUUCUAAAAGUUAACAUACCAAUUGAACGCCAUGCAACCACGGUGUAUACUCAGGCCAUGUUUGAGCUGUUUGGAAAAAGUCUUUACUACUCAUGUUCUUAUUACAUCGAAGAAUUAGUUCCAGGGAGUGAGUACCUGGCAACACACGUGAAGGCGGGGUCGAGGGAGAAAUGGUACAAGAGCAGAUACAAGGUGGUGGUUUCAGAAUUCAACGAUUUUUUCAGUUGUGAGUGUUGACUCUUUGAGCAUAUGGGGAUGAUUUGUUUCCAUGCACUAAAGGUGUGUACAUAUGAAUUUUUAGUAGCUAAUUCCUUUUAUUUGUUAAUUGCUGACUUUGCACAUGACUUGGAAUAACAGGUGAUGAUAGUGUUGGGAUUGAAUGAGAUACCAAGGAAGCACAUACUGAAAAGAUGGACAGUAGAUGCGUGUGAUACCCUUCCAGAACAUCUGAAGCAUUAUCAAAAAGAUGUAGGCCUACCUGAUUGCACAACUUUCAGACACAAUGCUAUGUACAUCUCUGCUCUGGAAUUGGUUAUGAUGGGUGAUAGCAAUCCCAAGGAUUUUGACUAUGUCAUGAGCGGGCUAGCAGAAUUGAAGAAGGGUGCUUUGCCACUAAGUAAUCUUAAAGAUGGAAUGAGUCUAAUUGAAAAAAAGAAGGCAUGUAAGUCUUCUUUGUUGCUAAAUCUAUUGCUUCAAAGGUAGUCAGAAGCAGAUUAUUGAUGAGGAAGCUGCAUCAAGUGCUGGGAAAAUUGAAUGGAGAAAUGCAAAAGCAAGAACGAUAGUAGGGGAGGGGCAAUCUUCAGUUCAUGCUAAUGGUACAAUUCAAGCAAUUUCGGGUUCGUCUACUAUCCAGGGGGCGACCUGAGCACGGCUGAUUCAAACAUUGUUGUAACUUCAAGAAGCAUGGAUAUAGAAAGCGACAUGUCCAUGUUACCCCCUAAGAAGAAACCAAGGAUGAGAGGUCAUCCGAAAACUGCAAGAGACAAGCCAAAUUACGAAAUAAAUGACAAGCGAUCGGGGUUUUGCACCAUUUGCCGUGGGAAGGGGUACAAAAGAACUAUAUGCCCUCAAAGGGGCAACGAACCGCAGAAGCCCAGGAAGAUUCCGACAUGUACAAAUUGUGGCAUAGCCGGUCAUCAUAGGAAUACGUGUUCAGAAGUGUUGUACUCUACAUUGGAUGGGGUGCACUCUGUAGGAUGCAUCUGAAGUAAUUAUGUACUUCUAAUUGAAUCUUUUUUAAACAUUUGGACAAGUUUGUGUUGUAAAACAUCUGGAGACAAAAAAUGUUGAAGUUAUGUUACUUUUUUUAUUAUGUUUUGUAAGAAUAUGUCAUAGGGGUAAGAAAUAAUUUAUUUGGAUAUAGGCGAUACAUUAGCAAGAGCAGCUGCAAGGAUGGAUAUCUAUGAUUGCUGAAAAAGAAAACAAAAAAAUUACAGAUAUAUAUGGAGCAUGAUAGGCACAAGGUAUUUUUUUGGGAAAAUAAACAAGUAGAAGAAAAGAACAAAUAUUAAUGCAGUGUGUUUAUAAGAGUGGUAGAGGCCGCAAGAAAAUGCCAGGAAAAAGCACAUGGUGUCUGGUUGGCAGAGGAGUAAUAAAUAUGUGGUUUCUGUGUGAGAGGCGGCAAUGCUGUGGACAUACUUGUCCAUCUAAGGACAUGCCGAGACCUACAUACUUGUCCAUCUAAGGACAUGCCGAGACCUGAGGAAGCUUCAGUACUCACCAAGGCAACAUNNNNNNNNNNNNNNNNNNNNNNNNNNNNNNNNNNNNNNNNNNNNNNNNNNNNNNNNNNNNNNNNNNNNNNNNNNNNNNNNNNNNNNNNNNNNNNNNNNNNNNNNNNNNNNNNNNNNNNNNNNNNNNNNNNNNNNNNNNNNNNNNNNNNNNNNNNNNNNNNNNNNNNNNNNNNNNNNNNNNNNNNNNNNNNNNNNNNNNNNNNNNNNNNNNNNNNNNNNNNNNNNNNNNNNNNNNNNNNNNNNNNNNNNNNNNNNNNNNNNNNNNNNNNNNNNNNNNNNNNNNNNNNNNNNNNNNNNNNNNNNNNNNNNNNNNNNNNNNNNNNNNNNNNNNNNNNNNNNNNNNNNNNNNNNNNNNNNNNNNNNNNNNNNNNNNNNNNNNNNNNNNNNNNNNNNNNNNGAGAGAGAGAGAGAGAGAGAGAACCAUUCAGAGCGUCCAUGGAUAUGGUGAUGGAAUCAAAGAAGCGUCCGAGGAACUUUUCAGUGCAUGCAAUAUACUACUUUGAAAUUUCUUCUUCUUCUGUUGUUCAUUCUUUUACUAAUUUUUUUGUACCAGACAACUGCAAGUGUGGAAGGAGGGGCAGCUUAUGCUAUAAUUGAGACAGGAGAUACUUCCUCUGGUUCAGAAGUUGAGCAGGUAAAAAUGUAAUUAGUGCUUUUAAAAUAAGAAUGCAUGAAUUAUAAAAAUAGUGUAACAUCCCAAAUUUUCAAUUUGGAAUGUUAUACACUAGAUCAUCAUUGCAUAUCAUAUUUAUUGCAUUUUGGUUGAUCCUAGAAAUUUUUCGCAACUCAAGGACCCUGGGAGAGAGUUGGGGAUUUCGUUAUUUUCAUAUUUGAGUUGUCUCAAAUUUUGAAAAUAGGAUCAUUUGAUUUUAUUUAUUUUAUCUUCAAUUAUUUCUAUUACAAAAAUAUGAGAGAGGGAAUAAAAUGACUUUCCCAAAAUAAAGAAAUAUUGAGGAUUUAAUAAAAAAUCAAAUAAGAUUUAUUUCGAGAUUUUUGGAGUCUGUUUAGUAGUCCUUUUGUUUUUUUUCCGAGCGUAAGUUUUUUUUUUAAAAACGUCCGAACCGACCUACGGGCCGUGCUAGGCCCGGACUCCCCCGGACCCAGCCUUUAUAAGCCGCNNNNNNNNNNNNNNNNNNNNNNNNNNNNNNNNNNNNNNNNNNNNNNNNNNNNNNNNNNNNNNNNNNNNNNNNNNNNNNNNNNNNNNNNNNNNNNNNNNNNNNNNNNNNNNNNNNNNNNNNNNNNNNNNNNNNNNNNNNNNNNNNNNNNNNNNNNNNNNNNNNNNNNNNNNNNNNNNNNNNNNNNNNNNNNNNNNNNNNNNNNNNNNNNNNNNNNNNNNNNNNNNNNNNNNNNNNNNNNNNNNNNNNNNNNNNNNNNNNNNNNNNNNNNNNNNNNNNNNNNNNNNNNNNNNNNNNNNNNNNNNNNNNNNNNNNNNNNNNNNNNNNNNNNNNNCCUGCGCCCGACGCCGCGCGCCGCCGCCGCCCGCUGCCGCCCCGCCGGACCCCGCCGGACCCCGCCGACGCCGCCGCCUCGCCGGAGCCGCCGUCGUCGUCCCGCCGCUCGAGGUUUACCUCGAUCCCACCGCCGGUUUUCCCGGAAAAACCGUUCGGUGUUCGCCGGUUUUUUUGUUUCGUUUUUUCUUUAGAUCGGUUUUUUCCCGGUUUAGGCUAAUUAGCGAGCGUUCGCUCGUUCGUUCGUUUUAUCGAACGCGUUCUUCGUUUAGAUUCAGUUAACGAACGAACGUUCGUUAAAUUGUUCGUCGUUUUUCUUUUUCUCGGAUUAAAUCCGCGAUUUUCUGAUCGCGAUUUCUGAUCCGAUUUUCGUUUUAGUUUAUCUUUUCGCUCGUUUAUCGGAAUCAGGCGAUUCAAGCGCCUGGAGUUUCGUCUCGAAACUCUCUUUCUGUUUAACCAACUUAAACAAGUUUUUGCUUCUGUAAAAAUUGCCUUAGAUCUAGAAUAGUAAACGAAGCCUGUUUCUUUUGCCGUUUGUCUUUCGUUGCUUCGUUCGAUUCGAUUCUUUUUGCCAACCGGAGUUCUUAAGUUGAACUUUCUGGUUAAAUCUCUUAUUUGAGUUUUACCUAUGCAUUAGUUGAGUACUUAUUGUGUGCUUGUUUGUUUGCGAUAGAGUACCCGGAGUGCGCCGCUUGUUACUUCGAAUCGCUAGGUUUCCCGGAUCAUCAGCAAGGCAAGUAACACUUUGAUCAUACCUCCUACUACCCAGUUUUAUUGCAUUAGAUCAAUCCUUACACAUUUCAUGAUUAAUGUAAUUAAAUUGUGGGUUUGGGAAGUAGUUGAGGUAGUACCUAUUACCUGUCUAAUUAUCAAACCUUUGGGAGUUACUUCUACGUUUGCUUAUUAUUGCUAUGCUAUGCUAGUAGACGUGGAUUGGGUGAGUGUAUCCAUGACAGAUGUGAGCUUUGUUAAUUAAUGUUUUACUUAAGGUGGCAACCUAAACACACAUCUGGGUGGAUUGAGGCAUCUGGGUAUUCCAGGAUUGCCUGUUUUCUUUUGGACCGCCACCUAGGCUCAAAGGGAUCAUGAGAUUAUUCAUGCUAGAAACUUCUGUGUGCAGCCACAAGCUAUUAUGGGCUCUAGCAUAGUUGACUAAGUCGUGCGAACUCUUACAGUGGUAGACUAGCAGAUGUAGGGGAUGUAGGUGGUACGGUCUACCCAUCGUAAGGUGCUAGCGCUUCUGAAAGACUAUGUCUCGGUCAUCCGUUUCUCAAACACCAUGUAGUGCGAGAAACCAAAUGGAGGCGAUCGAGUCUUGUGGGGAAAAGUGCGCAAACCUCUGCAGAGUGUAUAAACUAAUCAUGGUUAGCCGUGUCCCCGGUUAUGAACAUCUUGAGUAUCUAGUACCUGGAUUAUCAUGUGAAUCUCAACAUGUUACUCUAAAGAUUAAUUUUGUUGGGUUUGUUUAAUGAUGAUGUUUAAUUGGGAUUGAGAAUGCCGUCAACCAUUCUCACUGUUUAACAACCACCAUAAUAGUUAAAUAAAUUUAUUCCUUUGCAGUAGGGAAAAAUUGGCUUUACGCAAAACUGUAACCAUAGAGCUUUCCACCAGCCAAAUAUGCAUAUAGUAUAACUGUUUCAUUCCAUUAUUCUCCAUGUGUUACAUUGCCAGCAUAUUCCAUGUGCUGACCCAUUUUCGGGCUGCAACGUUAAUGUUGCAGACUUUUCAGACGAUGAUUAAGGAGUUCUAGGUUGUGGUUCUAUACUCAGUGAUGCCGUUGGAGUUGAUGGACUCACUUAUCUUCCAAGCCUUCCGCUGUUAUCGUUAUUAGAUGGCCUUAAGCCAUUUUUAUUGUAAUAAGUUAUCUUUGGAGACACUCGAUGUAAUAAGUGUGUGAUUGCUACUCUGCUAUAAAUCCUUCAAGUACUGUGUGGUGUCAGCAUUACUGAUCCAGGGAUGACACCGAAGCACAGAGAUUGGACUGUCUGAGGUCUGGUCGCUACAAGAUGGUAUUAGAGCCCACACUAACUGUAGGACACGACCACUAAGCUAAAGACCUAGAUCACUACUCACUCUCUUCUCUUCUGACCUUUCAUCUUUUCUACUCUUUUUGGAUGGCGGAUGCAAGAAACAAGUUCACUCAACCGGAUGAAGAUACACCCUUUGGACGUCACUUGAAGGAAGUCACUAGAUACCUGAACAUAUGAGUACCAAGCUUCACUGGAACCUACAAUGCCACCUUACCUGAAGAAGAGCGUUGGAUGAUUCAAGUUCAAGUUCUAGGAAGGACGUUCAUGCCAGUCACUGAGCCCAUAAAGUUUUCUUUCGAUGCACCAACCUGGAGUCUAGGAAAGAGCAUGGCAGCUCACAUCGCCAUGGGACGCAUUGGAGAAGUCUACCGCAAUGAUCUCAAGGAUACUAUCUACCAGAUUUGUGGGCGCCGAGAUGAGCACUGGGAGAUGAUCAGCACCAGAAAGGAUAGAUCAAUUGCAGCUUUUAUCCAGGAGUUAAACCAACACAUUUGACGCCAGGAGAACCAGAUGUGCGCCGACAUGAUAGAUCUAAAGAAUACAAGGACAAGAAUCAAGGAACUGUAGGAAGAACUCAAGGCUACACGUGAAGAUUUUGAAGAAGAAAUUGAAGUAUUAGUGGAAAAGAAUGACGAUCUGAUCAAGAAAAUUGGAAUAUUCAUGGGAGACCCUAUAUCGGUAGAAGAAGACGAAGAACCCAAGGAGAUUCGCCCGGAAGACUACAUCAUCAUCGACGACAUCGACUCGGAUCCAGAUGAUAGCGAUGAUGACUAUGUUGAUGAAGCUGGAGCAGAUAUCAUGGAGUCUGUAACAAAAGAAUAUUUCUAGUAGACCACCCCAACAAUAGUAGUAGUCCACCAUGUAAAUAUAGUAGCCCGAGGACUUUUGUGAUAGUUAGAUCGAUUGUAUGCCCUUGUUUGGUUGAUUGGAUGAAGUGAAUUGUUUGCUUUUGCCUCAUGUGUAUAUGGGUAGUGUUUUCUCUUUAGGCCCCCUCUAUUCUUAAAUCUCAUCCUUUUCUAAACCCUCAGAUGCCUCCGAGACGUGACCCCGAAUUUACCUUCCCACCGAAGCUCACUCAAUUGAUCCAGCAACAGAACACAUUGAUGCAGUUACUAGUCCAGAAUCAGAACCAGGGGAACAACAACAACAACAACAACCCACCACCACCACCACCUGUUGAUCACUUAGCCCAAUUUUCUUAGACUGAAUCCGCUGGUGUUUUCCAAUAGCACCGAGCCGAUAAUAGCAGAUGAUUGGCUCCGCAAGACAGCUAGAGAGUUGACCACAGUAGGAUGCACUGAUGCAGAGAAGGUGAAGUUUGUCGCACAUUAGCUUGAAGGACCCGCAGCAUCAUGGUGGGAGAAUUUCACAUCCACUUUCCCUGUCAAUACUAUCACAUGGGACCAGUUUCAGCAAGCUUUUCGUACUGCCCAUGUUUCAGCAGGAGCUAUGGCCAUGAAGAAGCGAGAGUUUCGCAACUUGCGCCAAGGAGGACGGAUAGUUGGUCAGUAUGUGGAGGACUUUAGUAAGCUAGCACGUUAUGCCCCAGAUGACGUUGCUAGGGAUGCAGCUAAGCAGGAGAAGUUUCUGGAAGGAUUGAAUGAUGAGUUGAGCAUGCAGUUGAUGGUAGCAACCUUCAACAACUACCAGGAGUUGGUAGAUCAUGCUCUUAUGAUUGAAGGGAAGCAGCAGCAAAUUGAGAAUCACAAGAGGAAGUAUGCACAAGGAAAGUACAAUUCAGGAGUUCAGCAGAAGCCACGAUUUACCCCUAGGCCGGGAGGACAUUUUUAGCAUACCCAUGGAGGAGGUAGUUCGCACAAUCACAAUGGCCCCAGGAAUGGUAAUGGGAAUGGAGGAAGCAACGGCCAGAACCGCACCAACCCAUCAACCCCAGCCAAGAAAGACCUAAGCCAAGUCACUUGCUUUAAGUGCCAGAAGACCGGACAUUAUGCUAAUGAAUGUCCUGAAUCCCAGAAUGGAAAUGGCAAUGGAAGCUCUGGGAAGAAGCCAAACCCUUUCAACAGGGGACAGGUGAACCACAUUAACGUGGAGGAGGUUGAAGAGCAGCCGGAUGUAGUAAUCGGUAAGUUUUUGGUUAAGUCAUUUACUGCACUCGUUCUUUUCGAUACUGGUGCAUCGCAUUCAUACAUAUCAAGGGGAUUUGUGGAUAAGUAUAAACUGCCAACCCAAGCCCUUAGGUCACCCAUGUUAGUAACCUCGUCUGGAGCAGAACAUAUGGCUAGUCUAUGGUGUGAUCGGUUACCAUUAAGGAUUGGUAACUAUGUUUUUCCCUCGGACCUAAUAGUAUUGGAAUCCCAAGGAUUGGAUGUGAUAUUAGGCAUGGAUUGAUUAUUAAAGUAUGAAGGGAAUAUUGAAUGUGCCAGUAAGUCAAUUUCACUUACCACCCCAGAAGGGAGAAGGAUCAAGUAUGUAUCCCGACAUGUGCCAAAGAGGACUCAAGUAAAUUGUUUAACCGAAGUAGUGCAGGAGGAAGUACCAGUAAUGAAGGAUUUCCCCGAAGUAUUUUCAGAAGAGUUGCCAGGCAUGCCACCGGAUAGAGAUAUUGAGUUUUUGAUUGAGCUUUUGCCAGGCACAGGGCCAAUAUCAAAGAGACCAUAUAGGAUGCCUGCAAAGGAUUUGGUGGAAAUUAAGAAGCAGAUUAAGGAGUUACUGGAUAAAGGAUAUAUUCGCCCAAGUUCAUCGCCUUGGGGAUCGCCAAUACUUCUAGUGGAGAAGAAGGAUGGAUCGUUAAGGAUGGUUGUCGAUUAUCGAGGAUCGAAUGAAGUAACCAUCAAAAACCAGUACCCCCUACCGAUGAUCAAUGAUCUGUUUGAUCGAUUGCAAGGAGCUAAUGUAUUUUCCAAGAUCGAUCUGCGAUCAGGAUACCACCAGUUGAAGAUUCGGGAACAGGAUAUACCCAAGACGGCUUUUACCACCAGGUAUGGGCUGUACGAGUAUACCGUUAUGUCAUUUGGUCUGACUAACGCACCUGCAUAUUUUAUGAACAUGAUGAACAAGGUGCUUAUGAAGUUCUUGGAUAAGUUCAUCGUAGUGUUCAUUGAUGAUAUCCUGGUUUACUCAAAGAAUGAAGAGGAGCAUAAGGAGCAUUUGCAUUUGGUUCUUGGAAAGCUCAGAGAACAUCAAUUAUAUGCCAAACUUAGCAAAUGUGAGUUUUGGUUGAAGGAAGUUGGAUUUCUCGGACACGUUAUAUCUGGAGAAGGUAUAGCAGUAGAUCCCACUAAAGUUGAUACCGUGACCAAGUGGGAAGCACCAACCACCAUGGGAGAGAUCCGGAGUUUUCUUGGACUCGCAGGAUACUACCAGAGGUUUAUUGAGAAUUUCUCAAAGAUUGCGAAGACUAUGACUGAGUUGUUGAAGAAGGAUACCGAGUUCAUAUGGACAGAGGAAUGUGAGGCUAGUUUUCAGGAGUUGAAGAAACGUUUGGUUACCUCACCCGUGUUGAUUUUACCGGACCAGACCAAGGAUUGUGAGGUGUAUUGCGACGCUUCACGAUGAGGACUUGGAGCAGUGCUUAUGUAGGAAGGCAGAGUUGUUUCAUAUACCUCACGAUAUCUUAAGCCUCAUGAGUUGAAUUAUGCCACGCAUGAUUUGGGAUUAGCAGCCGUAGUGCAUGCAUUGAAGACUUGGAGACAUUUUCUGAUUGGAAACCAUUGCGAGGUGUACACGGAUCACAACAGUUUGAAGUAUAUUUUCACACAGAAGGAGUUGAACCUCAGACAAAGGAGAUGGUUGGAGCUCAUCAAGGAUUAUGAUAUGAAAUAGCAUUAUCACCCCGGAAAGGCUAACGUAGUAGCUGAUGCAUUAAGCCGUAAGAGCCAUGUCAACACCCUAAUGACGGGAGAUUUACCAGGGGAGUUAGCCGAAAAUCUUCGAGAGCUAUGUUUGGAAAUAGUUCCAAGAGGCUAUGUAGCAGCAUUGGAGAUUCAGUCUACUUUAAUGGAUAAGAUCAGAGAAGCUCAAAGGACUGGCAAGGAAAUUGCUUCCAUUAAGGAGAAAAUGAACAAAGGAAAAGCUAAGGGAUUUCGUGAGGAUGAGCACGAUACCUUAUGGUUUGAAGACCGUGUCUAUGUACCAAAUGAUCCGGAGAUUAGGAAGCUAAUUCUGCAAGAGGCCCAUGACUCACCAUACUCGAUUCACCCAGGAAAUACCAAGAUGUAUUUGGAUUUGAAGGAUAUUUUCUGGUGGACCGGAAUGAAGAAGGAUAUUGCGGAAUAUGUAGCAGUUUGUGAUGUAUGUCAGAGAGUGAAGGCAGAGCAUCAGAAGCCAGCAGGAUUGCUACAACCAUUGACGAUACCCGAAUGGAAGUGGGAUAAGCUAGGCAUGGAUUUCAUCAUAGGAUUGCCCAGAACACGUUCAGGCUAUGACUCGAUAUGGGUUGUAGUCGAUCGUUUGACAAAGGUAGCUCAUUUCCUUCUAGUGAAGACUACCUAUACCAGUGCAAAGUUGUCAAAGAUAUACAUGACCAGGAUCGUAUGUCUGCAUGGAGUUCCAAGGAGCAUUGUAUCGGAUAGAGGAACCCAGUUUACCUCAAAGUUCUGGAAUCAGUUGCAUGAGACUUUGGGAACCAGACUGGAGUUUAGCACAGCUUUUCACCCGCAGACAGAUGGACAGACCGAGAGAGAGUAAAUCAGAUUUUGGAGGAUAUGCUAAGAGCUUGUGCGCUAGAUUAUGGAUCUAGUUGGGAUGAGAAUUUGCCAUAUGCAGAGUUCUCUUACAACAACAGCUAUCAAUCCAGUUUGAAGAUAGCCCCUUUUGAAGCCUUGUACGGAAGGAGGUGCAGGACCCCAUUGUCCUGGGAUGAAGUUGGAGAUCGCCAGUUGUUUGGACCGGAUCUGAUAAAGGAGUCUGAACAGAAAGUGAAAUUAAUUCGCGACAGGCUGAAGGUAGCUCAAUCCAGGCAGAAGAGUUAUGCAGAUUCUAAACGCAAGGAGACAGUUUACGAAGUCGGAGACCGAGUCUAUCUUCGAGUAUCACCACUUCGAGAAGUUAAGCGCUUUGGAGUUAAGGAAAAGUUAGCACCACAUUUUGUAGGCCCAUACCAAGUUUUGGAGCGUAUGGGAGAAGUUGCCUAUAAGUUGGAAUUGCCCAAAGGAUUGUCAGGAGUUCACGACAUGUUCCAUGUAUCCCAGUUGAAGAAGUGCCACGAAGAGAUGGCCGACAUACCGUUGAGAGAUACGGUACCACUAGAAGCAAUUCAGUUGGACAGUGAUUUAACCUAUGAGGAGAAACCAGUUAAGAUUCUAGAGUAUGCCAGUCGAGUCACCCGCAACAAGGUUAUCAAGUUUUGCAAGGUUCAGUGGAGCCACCACACGGAGGAUGAAGCCACCUGGGAACGAGAGGAAGAUUUGCUGAAGGACCACCCUCACCUAUUUUCUAGCCAACCCGAAUCUCGAGGGCGAGAUUCUUCUUAAGGGGGGUAGGUUUGUAACAUCCCAAAUUUUCAAUUUGGAAUGUUAUACACUAGAUCAUCAUUGCAUAUCAUAUUUAUUGCAUUUUGGUUGAUCCUAGAAAUUUUUCGCAACUCAAGGACCGUAGGAGAGAGUUGGGGAUUUCGUUAUUUUCAUAUUUGAGUUGUCUCAAAUUUUGAAAAUAGGAUCAUUCGAUUUUAUUUAUUUUAUCUUCAAUUAUUUCUAUUACAAAAAUAUGAGAGAGGGAAUAAAAUGACUUUCCCAAAAUAAAGAAAUAUUGAGGAUUUAAUAAAAAAUCAAAUAAGAUUUUAUUUGGUUUUAUUUGCUAUUUUAUUUGAAUUUAGGAAAAAACACGUUUUUCAAAAUUGCAUUUAGGCCCCAAAUAAAUGUUCAUCCUGUGCGGCUUGAUUUUAGAAGCCGGGGAAAAUUUAUUUCGGGAUUUUUGGAGUCCGUUUAGUAGUCCUUUUGUUUUUUUCCGAGCGUAAGUUUUAAAAAAAAAACGUCUGAACCGAUCUACGGGCCGUGCUAGGCCCGGACUCCCCCGGACCCAGCCUUUAUAAGCCGCUGGCCCACCCCGGGCUGAAACCCUAGCCGCCCCGCCUCGAACCCCGCGCCCGGCGCUGCCGCCCGCGCCCGGCGCCGCCCGCCGCCGCCNNNNNNNNNNNNNNNNNNNNNNNNNNNNNNNNNNNNNNNNNNNNNNNNNNNNNNNNNNNNNNNNNNNNNNNNNNNNNNNNNNNNNNNNNNNNNNNNNNNNNNNNNNNNNNNNNNNNNNNNNNNNNNNNNNNNNNNNNNNNNNNNNNNNNNNNNNNNNNNNNNNNNNNNNNNNNNNNNNNNNNNNNNNNNNNNNNNNNNNNNNNNNNNNNNNNNNNNNNNNNNNNNNNNNNNNNNNNNNNNNNNNNNNNNNNNNNNNNNNNNNNNNNNNNNNNNNNNNNNNNNNNNNNNNNNNNNNNNNNNNNNNNNNNNNNNNGCCUCGCCCGAGCCGCCGCCGCCGUCCCGCCGCCCGAGGUUUACCUCGAUCCCGCCGCCGGUUUUCUCGGAAAAACAGUUCGGUUUUCGUCGGUUUUUUGUUUCGUUUUUUCUUUAGAUCGGUUUUUUUCCUGGUUUAGGAUAAUUAGCGAGCGUUCGUUCGUUCGUUCGUUCGUUUUAACGAACGCGUUCUUCGUUUAGAUUCAGUUAACGAACGUUCGUUCGUUAAACUGUUCAUCGUUUUUCUUUUUCUCAGAUUUAAUCCGUGAUUUUCUGAUCGCGAUUUCUGAUCCGAUUUUCGUUUUAGUUUAUCUUUUCGCUCGUUUAUCGAAAUCAGGCGAUUCAAGCGCCUGGAGUUUCGUCUCGAUACCCUCUUUCCGUUUAACCAACUUAAACAAGUUUUUGCUUCUGUAAAAAUUGCCUUAGAUCCAGAAUAGUAAACGAAGCCUGUUUCUUUUGCCGUUUGUCUUUUGUUGCUUCGUUCGAUUCGAUUCUUUUUGCCAACCGGAGUUCUUAAGUUGAACUUUCUGGUUAAAUCUCUUAUUUGAGUUUUACCUGUGCAUUGGUUGAGUACUAAUUGUGUGCUUGUUUAUUUGCGAUAGAAUACCCGGAGUGCGCCGCUUGUUACUUCGAAUCGCUAGGUUUCCCGGAUCAUCAGCAAGGCAAGUAACACUUUGAUCAUACCUCCUACUACCCAGUUUUAUUGCAUUAGAUCAAUCCUUACACAUUGCAUGAUUAGGAUCUAAUUAAAUUGUGGGUUUGGGAAGUAGUUGAGGUAGUACCUUUUACCUGUCUAAUUAUCAAACCUUUGAGAGUUACUUCUACGUUUGCUUAUUAUUGCUAUGCUAUGCUAGUAGACGUGGAUUGGGUGAGUGUAUCCAUGACAGAUGUGAGCUUUGUUAAUUAAUGGUUACUUAAGGUGGCAACCUAAACACACAUCUGGGUGGAUUGAGGCAUCUGGGUAUUCCAGGAUUGCCUGUUUUCUUUUGGACCGCCACCUAGGCUCAAAGGGAUCAUGAGAUUAUUCAUGCUAGAAACUUCCAUGUGCAGCCACAAGCUAUUAUGGGCUCUAGCAUAGUUGACUAAGUCGUGCGAACUCUUACAGUGGUAGACUAGCAGAUGUAGGGGAUGUAGGUGGUACGGUCUACCCAUCGUAAGGUGCUAGCGCUUCUGAAAGACUAUGUCUCGGUCAUUCGUUUCUCAAACACCGUGUAGUGCGAGAAACCAAACGGAGGCGAUCGAGUCUUGUGGGGAAAAGUGCGCAAACCUCUGCAGAGUGUAUAAACUAAUCAUGGUUAGCCGUGUCCCCGGUUAUGGACAUCUUGAGUAUCUAGUACCUGGAUUAUCAUGUGAAUCUCAACAUGUUACUCUAAAGAUUAAUUUUGUUGGGUUUGUUUAAUGAUGAUGUUUAAUUGGGAUUGAGAAUGCUGUCAACCAUUCUCAAUGUUUAACAACCACCAUAAUAGUUAAAUAAAUUUAUUCCUUUGCAGUAGGGAAAAAUUGGCUUUACGCAAAACUGUAACCAUAGAGCUUUCCACCAGCCAAAUAUGCAUAUAGUAUAGCUGUUUCAUUCCAUUAUUCUCUAUGUGUUACAUUGCCAGUAUAUUCCAUGUGCUGACCCGUUUUCGGGCUGCAACGUUAAUGUUGGAGACUUUUCAGACAACGAUUAAGGAGUUUUAGGUCAUGGUUCUAUACUCAAUGAUGCCGUUGGAGUUGAUGGACUCACUUAUCUUCCAAGCCUUCCGCUGUUAUCGUUAUUAGAUGGCCUUAAGCCAUUUUUAUUGUAUUAAGUUAUCUUUGGAGACACUCGAUGUAAUAAGUGUGUGAUUGCUACUCUGCUAUAAAUCCUUCAAGUACUGUGUGGUGUCAGCAUUACUGAUCCAGGGAUGACACCGGAGCACAGAGAUUGGACCGUUUGAGGUCUGGUCGCUACAAAUAGCUUGACGUCGUGGCCAAUGACAAACAGGUUAGGCCAGUGCUGGGGUUGGGUACUAAGGAAGUAGCUGGAGCAACAAAAGGGAUGUUAGUCGCGAGUCUGACUGGGUCUAAUCUGCAAGGUAUAUGUAUUUGAUGUAAACUAAUUUCUAAUAAUGUAUUGUUUGAAGGUUGGAUGUAACGAAGGAUGGGGUGAGGUUGAUACUGAUGGCAAGGUUGUCACUAAAAAACCUGGUUGCGAGCUAUGUACUACUGAAGAUGAUGCAGUCUCUGGAAGUCCAAAAGGACAAAAUGUUGCCUGUUAUGAAAGUGAAGAUGAGAUUGACAACAUCUGGAGCAAGAAGAUUAAGACCGAGCCAAAUGUUUAACUUGCGUGCAAUGUAUUAGUAGGAAGUGUUACGUUCCUGUCGUUUCAGUUUGUGUAUCAGUUUGAAUUAAUGAGAAAAUUUGAAAAAAGUACCUGCAGUUAUUUUUAAUACUUGUUCGGGAAUGGACUGGGCUUGUAUGGGUGUCGGUGGCCGGCAUGCAGUAACUGGAGCGUAUCUAUAAAGAUACGAUACAGAGGUUUCUGAAAGCAUCCCUACAUGUAAGAGGUGGUGAGGCAUGCAUGUACAGUACACAUGCUGGCGUGGAGUUGAUAUGAGCCUUGAGUAAGCCUCUCCACACUUGCCAGCUAACCUAUGCAGGGGUGAAUGCUCCACAUUUAGUUAUUGGCGUGCACCGGGCUAGAGGCGUGUUUGUACCCACAGGGUAGUGCCAAAGAGAGCUGUAGUAGAGAGAAAGAGAUGAUGAUCUGCAUACUAUUGAUGGUGAGUUGACAUGUUGGAAAUAAAAAAACCAUUUUUACUUGGAAAAAACGCAAUGUGAAGCCGGUCCNNNNNNNNNNNNNNNNNNNNNNNNNNNNNNNNNNNNNNNNNNNNNNNNNNNNNNNNNNNNNNNNNNNNNNNNNNNNNNNNNNNNNNNNNNNNNNNNNNNNNNNNNNNNNNNNNNNNNNNNNNNNNNNNNNNNNNNNNNNNNNNNNNNNNNNNNNNNNNNNNNNNNNNNNNNNNNNNNNNNNNNNNNNNNNNNNNNNNNNNNNNNNNNNNNNNNNNNAAGGUGGCAAUUGGGUGGUAGAUGAGGGGGGGGGGGGGGGUUAAUUCAUCUGUGUCACUCUGCUCUCCUCGGCUCUCCUCUAGCUCGUCUCCUAUGAAAUAUGCUGUGAACCAGAGAGAGAGAGAGCAAACCGUGAAGAACAGACGGUCCGUCCAUGGAAGUAGAAGACCUAGAGGUAAUAUCCAAUAGAUUAAACUUUUAGUAACAAUUUUCUGGCUCUGGUUCUAUUUGGAUUAGGUUCUAUCUAUACCUAGAAAGCUCUUUGACCGGGCUGGGCCUAUGGACUGGUUCCUAUAGGUGUUGGUCAAAGCUUUGUUUUAUCUUUUAAUGGAUCUGGGUCUUUGUUUUUCUUCUAGUUGCUGGUUCAUAUGGUUUGCGUGCUGGAUGUACUGGUGGAGUUUGAUUUGGUGCUGGUACCUGAACCUAAUAUGGUGGACUUGAGUAUUAAGUUCCUAGGUGUAUAUGCACUUGGAUUCCUCCCAAGUCGACAUUUUUGGUUUCUGUACUAGUUGCUUUCGCAAAUAAAAAUGGGAGAUUUCUUCUUUUUGCUUGUACUUUAUUUCCAUAGAUGGUUGGGGGAGGGGGGAUGAUGUGAUUUGAUUCAAUCUAUCAUGUACAGUAACUGAAAACUUGGUACUAUAUUGACUAUGAACUUUAUUGCAGAUGUCAUCAGAAAGACGGAUUGGUAGUAGUAGUAGGGUGCCUAAGCAUAGGUUCUUGUCUGAUUGGGAAACUGGAUCUAGCAGCAUAUGUCUAGUUGCAGAGGUUUCUCCUACAAGGAGGUAUGAAGAUCUAGGGGUGGUUCCAGACUGGAAAAUUAACACUUGCUUCACUCCUAAAGUUCUGAAAGUUGCAAUGCAUGGUUGGGGGGAAGACAAGAAGGCAGCAGGCAGAUCUAUGGGGCUCGCUGGUGUUCUUGUCAUUGAUACGUUUCCAAAGAAACAUAAAGAGCAGGCCAUGCAGCUACUGAUGAGUGUGAUCCCUGAGCAAUCAUGUUUAUCAUUGGACACUUUAGGACUGAGAACAGUUGUUUUGAAUGCAGAUGUGUGUUGUAGGAUACUUGGAACCAGGAAAGGUGGUUCGAAUGAAAUACAAGGGUGCUCAGAGCCUGCUGAAGUAGAUGAUAUAAAGGCAGUUAGGAGGCUUCUGAAACUUCCUGAAACAUCUGUACCAAUAAAAGUGGAUGAACUUGUAAAGAUUCUGAUUAAGGAACAUACAUCAAGAAUGGAUGCAGAAGAAAGAAUCGGGUUUCAGAGGGCGUUUGCAAUGCUAUACGUGACAACAUUUGUAAGUCCUAGGGAACACCUAAAUCAAGCUACUCAUUCUGCUUGCCAAUUGGUGUUGGAGCAUGAAGAUUUGACAGAUUUGAACUGGGGCAAGUACACUGUUGAUGAAAUACUUGUUGGUGCGACUAAAGCCAGGGCAAGACAAUACAUGAAAACAUCGUGAGUAUAUGGUUGCCUAUUAGUACUCAUGGUGAGAUUAGCUUAUUCCUUAUAUAUUUGAACCAACCAGAAUUGCUAGACAUUGCAUACAUUAAUGUUUUUUGGUCUGAAUGCAGCUAUUGUUCUUCGACUCAGUCAACGUAGGUUUCAUAAAACUUAAUGACCAAGCGAAGCCAUGGAUCAAAUACUACAAUGCUAGCUUGCUAGAAGCACUUGUCAAUUAUAAUAGUUCAAAGGUGGAUGGUGUAACAACAUAUGGAACGUUGAAGGUAUUUUGAAAAUGGGUGAUAACUUAUAUGUAAUUGGGAUUAUGCUAUCGUUGUAAAAAAAAUGUUUAAAAUAGGUGUAUAUACAACUUAGUCGAGCAAUAUAGACCUAGAUAUAGACUCGGCAAAGAUUUAAAGUUCCCGUGGAAAGAAUGGCUUUGAUUUUGACAAGUAUAUAAGUUCUGUGCAACAGAAUACAAAUCGGUAUACUGCACGACAUUGAAUAAAAAAGACUUCCUAUUGUGAUACAAUAAAGAAAUCUGAUUAAUUUGGAUGAUAGAACAACAAUUAUUCUUUUGUUUAUUUCCUUAAAAGUAUAUUGCUUCCUUUGUAAGAAAAUAACACAAAAUAUGUGGGGUUGCAAUUCGUAGGAACUAUAUUAUUCCAGGGGUAUAUUAACAUGUAUAAAUCCUAUUAUACAAUGUCUAACUGUGAAACUAUUUUGUAUUCAGCCUAAGAAAAGCAUGCCAGACUUCAAUUACGAAGGAGAGGCUGAUAUUCUGGAAAUGACAAAAAAUGUAAGUAAUAAAAUAAUUGUCUUGAAAUAGAAUAACGCUAAGUAGAAAUGGUCUGAUUUUGAUGUUUACAUCUGUCAGGCGAUGCCAUUGUUCACUGCACAUGCGGAAAGAAUGACAUUGGAGGGUACAAACCAUAGCAUGAAUUUACACAAUAUGUUAGUGGCAGCAGGAGGGGCUAACACAAAUAUGGCCAGGAUGAUUAUGGAAAAUUAGUUACAUAAUGAGAAGAGUAGGGUUGUUGAAGAUUUCAGAAAGUUGUUUGAGUGCAUCAUAAACAUCAGACUGGAGAACAAGAAAAAUAACAUUACUUAUUUGAGGGGCAGUGGAAAUAUGUUGAUUGAAGGUAAAUAAAAAAAUAGAAUUACAGCUGCAUUAAAACGGACAUAAGUAAGUUGCAGAGUGUUUGACAGGUUUGAAGACAGAAAUCAUGCAGUUAUUGAAAGGGAUAGGUGCUUCAAAAGACAACAGUGUGGCAGGUAUGAAAAACUGCUUUCAACAAUUUGUUUACGCAACAACUAAUGUAUAGGGGGAUUAUUAGAGGGGUUUUAAUUCCUACAUCGAAAAAGUGUUGAGAUAAAUGAUAAAACAUAGUUUUGUGUUCUGGGACAACAUGAAUAAUUUAACAUUCAAACUUAUUCAUUUUAUUUUAUUCUAUGGCGGAAAGAGUCUGCUACUUUUCUGAAGGAAAGUAAAGGGAAGGAGAAAGUGGAUGAUGGCACUGGGAAAAGCUUACUUGGUAAGUUAUGUGAUGAUGAUAGACAGAUGAGUGGAAUGUAAUUCCAUUCAAAAGUUGAUGGGUGCAACUGAAUUAAUUUGAAAUACAUUGGGGGCGACAAGGGUGGUUUUUCCAAUUAUUGCAUGGGACCUCUAAAAAAAUUACCCAGUAACAAGUUGGGACUGGAUGAGUGGUAUGAAAGAAAAGGGGUAUUUGUUCCAAUGUCUGUGUUUGCGCAAGCAUAUUUAACACAAAGAAUAAAUGGUAAAUGUUUGCUAAACCAACACUUGUAGUUUAUAUGGUAGCACUAUGAAUUAUGCUUCAUAUAUAUAAUGUACUGACAUCUGAAUGCAACAGCUGAUAUACCAGAUUUGAACAUCCCAACAUAUGAUGAAGGACAGUUUGUAGCCCAGACAAAUGAGGUGGCGCUUAAUCAGAAGAAAAGGCAGGCUUCUGAUAUGACUAGAGUGGAGGAAAUAGUUUUCGAGCCAGCGAAAAGGAAAUGUGUAUAUGUGAGACAACGUAGGAAGAAAGUUGUUUUUGCAAUCUCUCCUUUUGCACUAGGGCAAUGCUACGAGGAGAUAAGGCACGCAGUGGCAAACGUGGGGUUGAGGAACAUGAAGCAAUCAUUCCUGGGAACGCGUCCUCGGUAAGCUUUCAGGAACUAAGUUUGAUUAUGUAACAUGUAUUAGAAAUUUGCGUGGGAGUUUGACUGACACUGGUGAAAACUAUGGUUGUAGCACUUGGUUCAAGCAUGAGGAGCCUGAUUUGCUGGAGAUGACUGGGGAUAAAUUUGUAGAUCGGUUUACUAGUCCAUGUGGACUGACUUAUAGAGGAUUUGCUGUGGUGAUUAGGAUGAUGUGGAUGGUUGAGCUGACUUGGAUGACACCUGCACAACGAAACCGUUGGAGGCACAUCUUGCUACCUCUUUGGGCGGUGAGUUAUUAAAAACUAUGGGGCAAAACAAAUUAGGAAGAGACGAUUCCUUGCUAAUAAUGACAAUUUCAUAUCUGUUUAGGAGCUUGUGGUGUAUGAUAAAAAUUAUCUUGCGCAUUCAAAGGUGAAAGAAAUGUUCACAAGUGAGGUUUGGGGGUAUGAUCUGCCGUGCUGCAGGAUGGUAAGUAAAUUGUUUGUACUUGCAAUCCAAAGUUUGUAGUCGUAAGAUUUGUUUUGAUAUGAAGUAAGUUGUGUGACCGGUUAUUUCAGAUAAUAGCGCCUAUAAGAGACAAAGAACAAUAACUGGACAUUGUAUGCUAUUGACAUGAGCGAAUGCAUUGUGCAUGUCCUUGAUCCAAGGAGUUCAUGCAUUGGAGAGGAACAACUGCUGGAAAACACAGUGGCAUUUGUGACAAGCUGAUUACUGGAUUAGCGAAGUGUGCAAGAGAGUUCUAUAAGGGCUGGGAAGUGGUCCCCGAGAAGUUAACAUACACCCGAAACUUCAUGGGCCAGCCAGCAUGUAAGUUAAUUGUUUACUACUAUUUUGUUAUGCUUAUAUGAAAACUUUCUGGUUAAUAACAACUAGUUUCGUUUACGCAGUGAAAAAUCUGCGUUCGACAUGGUGCACCAUUUCACAUACUUCGACGGGAAAUCACUAGUGAAAGGGAGAUCAAAAGCAAGUUCUUCCCCUACUUGCCUGUCUUUCAAAAAAAUAUUUUUUUAGAUAUGGUUGUUAUAUCAUAUUUAUAAUAAUUCCGGCUAGAAAUUUAAUAUAUCUAAUGUUUACUUCUUGUAGGAGUUGAAUAAACAACUGAAGGCCAAUGACCUGCAGAUGGUUCUAGGAAUGAAAGGGAACAAAGGAUACCCGCCAAAAGGCGUCCUUGCGCCUGAAGUCUAGAUUCCAAUGGAUUAGAGGAACAAGUAUGUAGAAGUGAUAUGUGUGUAUUAUUUUGCGUUUGAAUAUGUAUCAGGCUUCAUCAUGGUACUGAAAUAUGCUGACAUGUGGACAAACUGCAACAUGUAGACAUGGCUGCAUAUAUGGAGUGCUUAUCUGCGAGCUAAGAAAAAUUGAGUUGUACCAUCUAAGGAUGGGGGGUUUUGUUUGUUGGUAUGCUUCAGAAAUCUAAUAUUUAACAUGUUGCCCCUUGGGGCACGCAAAGUGUUUUAUGGUAAGCAUUCUUGAACAGAAAAUAGUCAAUUUUUGAGAGUAAAUGAAUGAGGAAAAAAUGAAGCAAUAUUGCCAGAAAUUUGUUAAAUCGUGGACUGGCAAUAGUAAGAAUUUUGCAAAGACAUGAACUGAAUAGUACAUAUAUUAUUCUGAUAAUAAACAUGAUUGACAUCUAGGGAUAAAGUUAGGGGACUCACAAGGGGCUGGAGGGGGUCUGCAAAUCUUAGCAAUCUUGAACCGAUGGGCAGAUCACUAGGCAUCUUGGAUGAGGAGGCCUGCGAUGCAAUAGGGGGAUUCGUUUAGGAAGGGGAAGAUGAGGCUGCUAAGUAACUGUUGUAUAUUGCAGGGGACAGGGGAAGGGGAGAAGAAAUGAAGAUCUGAGAGGAGAGGAGAAGUGAGGAGAAGUGCGCAAUGCCAGAUCUGUAAGGCCGAAGUGGUGGGAUGACUAGGGGGUAGGUGGUUUGAGUGGCUGGGAGUAGUAGCAUGGUGAGUGAGGUGAGGCUUUGGUGUUGGCUGCUGAUUGGUAGAACCAACUUUAGGUGCUAUGGUGGGGCAAACAAGGG
This 29742-nucleotide long non-coding RNA is filed under the name Triticum aestivum (bread wheat). RNAcentral describes it as "long non-coding RNA (TAES_LNC026281)". The record is from RNAcentral. Lineage: Eukaryota; Viridiplantae; Streptophyta; Magnoliopsida; Poales; Poaceae.